UGAUCACCUGGCACUCGGUCAGCCUCACCUGCCGGAACAGGAGCUCCCGCAGCUGCGUGGGAGGAAGAGGAGGAGGAGGAGGAGGAGAGGGGUCAGAACAUCCCAAAAACACCCCCGGCACCAUCCCAGUCCCCAGAGGGUGGCGUUGAGCGCGCGGCUCAGGUUGGCGUUGGUGGCGCUCAGGGUGACAAUCCUGCGGUAGUGGCUCUGCACCUGCUCCUCCAGGAGCCUCAGGUGGGUGUCGGUGCCCGCCUGGGCGUUCCCGUACACCAUGAAGAGCACGAGCCCCAGGAUGAUCAGGAAUUGGAUCAGCGAGGUGAAAAGGAAAAUGUAUUUGAGGCUCCUUCCUGCCGUGCCGGAUGCUCCCGGGGACCCGCCGGGUUAUCAGGGCACAGCUUCUGCUGGCAUUGUUGUUCCUGAAGUGUGGAAGGGGAAAAAAUAAAUGGGAUUUCAUUCCCUCCAUCCCA
Long non-coding RNA from Passer montanus (Eurasian tree sparrow), 467 nucleotides. RefSeq lists it as uncharacterized. The transcript has 3 exons. The record is from RefSeq and is a predicted model, not a curated record. Lineage: Eukaryota; Metazoa; Chordata; Aves; Passeriformes; Passeridae.